CCCGAACUCAGAAUAAUCAUGAUUACCCGCUGAAUUUAA
Molecule: ribosomal RNA, 39 nt
Filed under: Microstomum tchaikovskyi
Lineage: Eukaryota; Metazoa; Platyhelminthes; Dolichomicrostomida; Microstomidae
Description: partial 28S ribosomal RNA
Source: RNAcentral